CGUAGGUGGCGAGCGUUGUCCGGAAUGACUGGGGCGUAAAGGGCGUGUAGGCGGUCCUGUAAGUCUGGGGUGAAACCGACGGCUCAACCGCCGGCCUGCCCUCGGAAACUAGCGGGGGCGUAGAGUGGGGCUAGAGGGCAGCGGAAUUCCCGGUGUAGCGGUGAAAUAGCGUAGAGAUCGGGAGGAACACCAGGUGGCGAAGGCGGCUGCCUGGGGCCUAACUGACGCUGAGGCGCGAAAGCUAGGGGAGCAAACAGGAUU
This 261-nucleotide ribosomal RNA is filed under the name uncultured bacterium. RNAcentral's name for it is "partial 16S ribosomal RNA". It matches the Rfam family "Bacterial small subunit ribosomal RNA", at positions 526 to 779 of the family's 1533-position model. The record is from RNAcentral.